Molecule: long non-coding RNA, 3315 nt
Organism: Bombus pyrosoma
Lineage: Eukaryota; Metazoa; Arthropoda; Insecta; Hymenoptera; Apidae
Exons: 3
Source: RefSeq, a predicted model, not a curated record
CGGAUUUCUCGAACGAGAGAGAUUCCACUUUUAGGGAAAUUGUUUGCUAGAGAAGAUCCGCGUUGCUAAUUGAAUCCGUCAUUUCGUUGAUUAAGCACGAAUUCUGAAUAACCGUGGCGACAUUGCUUACAGCCUGUUAACGAGUUAAACGAAGAAUUAAAGGAUUAAACGAAGCAAUUUAUUUUUCAACUUUCAUGCACGAUAUGUCCUCGAUGAGAUAUUUAAUUUUGUAAGAAAACACGGUAGUUAAACGUUCGUAAGAUUAUGUUAACGUGACCAAAGUGGACGUAACAUCCUCAAGUGCCUUUUUAUGGAACGUAAACGAAAAAAAAAUAAAAAAAACGCAUGAAAGAUGCAAGUACGCCGGAACUGAUAGAAAUUACAUGCUAUAUCGAAGUCAAAUCGUCGCAGAUUAUUUUAUGUGAAAAACAAACAAGUGUCUAGAUCUCAGCUGUGUUAUUCCUGGAAGGACCAGGGUAAGCAAUUCUUUCCCAGCUUAACCGCUUCUUUCAAGGCAGCAGAUCUAUCGAAGACUAUCACGAACACGGUUUAAUCCCAAAUAUUCUCCACAAAGACUAGUAGUCACGUUUCAAGCAACAUCGUUUCCACGAACACUGCGCGAUCUUCGAUUUAACCUAGGAACAGCAUCAGUAGAAGCGGCUGGCUGUCUGCCAGCUUCCGACGAGUUAACCACCGACCGCAACUUUCUAGUGCCAGACCACGUCAUUCGUCACUACGACACAACUAACACAUUACCAACGAUUAAAUACUUUUUUUAACGUACAUUCAAAACGACCAUACGUUACGUAAUUUUACCACGUUAAACUUUUCAACGAUACGGGUACAGCGAAGUACGCUAAAACGAUCUUGGUGAACUUCAAAUGUCCUUAUUUGUUACAACAGCAGCCUGCUCUAUCAUACACCUAGAUACAUAGAUACACUUUCAGCCAUAAGUACCGCAAGACAAGAGCCGAAUUAAGAGACGAAUUAAACGCAUUUCACUGCUUGCAUUUUCUAGUUAUUUUUCACAAAUUUGUUAUUUCGUUCGCAUCGCGUACGUCCUUUGUGAUAUAAAAUAUUAAAUAAAGAAAAGCGUUCGAGCUUUGUCUAAUAAAUGUAACGAGUUGGAGAGUAGAAAACUUCGAUGAAAAAUAAAAGAACACAAGCGUACAAAUGAUAUAAAAUUACUUUAUGUAAUUUUCACACAUUGUGGUCUCACAUUUGUACUCUUUUACUCAUCCAAGAUCUCAGUCAAUUAGCUUUUCUAUUAUAUUUUACCGAAUCGUGGCUAAUGCUGUAAAGCAAAGUAAUUGAAAAGAACACGUUUAACUGAGAUUUCCGAGAUUAUUAAAAAAUGAAUAAGUACAUGAUUAGACUGAACGAUCAACAUUAUGAAGGAUAAAAAAUGAUAAUCUAACGAUAAAGUUCUGGCUACAAAUGUUUUAUCAUCCGUUUUUCUCGUCUUUUCUGACUUUAGUCGUAAGAAUUAUUCGGCACAGCAUUCGUUUGUUGUACACGCUAAAUUCACGUUUCACGAAUCUAAUCCUUGACAUCGUUUCUAGCAGACGAACUAUCGACAAAUUGGACAGAAUGUAACACGAUGUUUUCUCAUCGCGUUUAAAAGCUGCGGACGUUCUUUUCGUUUAAUUCGACGUGUAUUUUCUCGAGUUAAGUUCGAUGGGCGAAAGAACGUAUCAGCAACAUGUUGAAUGAUAAAGCAAGAUUACAAGCGUUGUAAACAAUAUUGCGAUAACGAGAAGCGAUGAAGGGAGGUUCCGUGGAAAAAAAGCUCGCGGGUGUAGUUCAUCAAUAAACGUCCGGAGUAUGUAUGUUAAAAUAGAUUUAUAGCAACAGCUGCGCCAAGAAGUUGAACCGAUACGAAAACCUUCGAGUUUACGGAGUUUCUGGUCAGCGAUUUAUGGUUCUUUGCCGAAAAUUAAUUUACUUCGCCUGGAUUUGAUGGUCUAAUUAUACCCAUGGAUUUAUUUAUCGAGCGAAUUAUAUUUUACAAGUAUACUUUCACAGAUACAAUAUUCGCAUAGAAUUUCGAAAAUGAGGAGAAUGAUAUUGAUAUACGCAUGAGAAUAUACGUGUUUGUUCAAUUGAAAAAUAGUUAUACGCAUUUCCUUCGAAGUCAUUCUUGAUUUAAAGAUAUAUUAUUAUCUCCAAGUUUAAGGCAAUUUAGUCAUAAUGACUUUCACAGAAUCAGUUACAUUGAAAUAAAAGGCUGAAAGUGGGAAAAUUAUGAUAACGAUUUAAUGUUUCAUGGAACGAUAUUUCGAGCUUCCAUUAAUCUAAAAAUCUAGGCGAAACACAGUUUGCAGCAGUCAAGGAAGUUUACGAUAAAUUAUGCCAUGUCUAGAAACUUGUGCGUAAAUUCGCGAUAAAUCAGUCAAUGGGGUUACUAAAUGGGGUUAAAUUUUCCCACUUUACUUGAAACCAUGGAAAAGAUUUGGAUAACUGAAUAACUAAGAAAAAAAGAGGUGGGAACAGUGAGAAAUAUGCGGUUGUCGAAGGUUUAUAAGGCAAGAGCAAAACUGAAUCUUUAGAACGGGCUAUCUACCUAGCAAAUGUACGGAGAAAAGAUUAUAAAUUUGUUUGGAACGAAAGCAUAUGAAAGUUAAAAGUCCCAUAAAAAUAAAUAAAGAAAAACGAAAGGAGACAAAUUUGCAAACUGAAUUAAUCUACGUCCUACAAAUUUUUCAUCUCACGAUAAUAUUUCAAUUUAUAGGAUCGUAAUUACAGCGAAAGCUGUUCCCUGCAGCUGCGUCUAAAUGAUUUUCGUCUGCGUGCAAAUUCUAUGAACGAAAAUCGUUUGACACCGAACGAAGCUAUCGUUUCGUUAAAAAGCAGUGAGAUUUAGCAGACUUCGUGCUGGCGACUUUAAUGUAGUUCUUUUUUUUCGACUCUAAAUAAAUCUCGUCAAGUCCAGAAACACCGAGAGAAAUUGCGGUUCCAGAAGUAAUUGCAAGGCCGUUUAAACGCGUCAUUGUUUUUCUAUACGAUUUCUUUGGACUAAGACGACCUUACCUCGAGUCACAAAUAAAAAACGUAAAAGAAGAAUUUCCUCCGAUACAACUAAACUUAUACCGCGUGUCUUGCACUGCAAUAAAAUAAACGUUUCAAUGUCACCAUUGAUUUUAUUACAAACUCGAUAAUCGAAGCACGCGUCGGAUACGUAAAACCAAUUAUAGAAAACUGUAAUUUCUCAUGUAAUUCGAAAACGCUAUAAUUUCCUUGAGUAAUAUAUCCCAUAAUUAAUAUCGCCAAUUAAAUAUUCAUCAAUUCCAUUUUAUAUGUAUGAUACUUGUAUCG